This 722-nucleotide ribosomal RNA is filed under the name uncultured bacterium. RNAcentral describes it as "bacterial SSU rRNA". It matches the Rfam family "Bacterial small subunit ribosomal RNA", at positions 55 to 745 of the family's 1533-position model. The record is from RNAcentral.
AUGCAGUCGAACGGGAGGAAAAGAGAAGCUUGCUUCUUUUUGAAUCUAGUGGCAAACGGGUGAGUAACACGUAAACAACCCGCCUUCAGGAUGGGGACAACAGACGGAAACGACUGCUAAUACCGAAUGUGUUCCGGAGACCGCAUGAUUUCCGGAAGAAAGGAUGGCCUCUAUUUAUAAGCUAUCGCCUGAAGAGGGGUUUGCGUCUGAUUAGGCAGUUGGUGAGGUAACGGCCCACCAAACCUACGAUCAGUAGCCGGUCUGAGAGGAUGAACGGCCACACUGGAACUGAGACACGGUCCAGACUCCUACGGGAGGCAGCAGUGGGGAAUCUUCCGCAAUGGACGAAAGUCUGACGGAGCAACGCCGCGUGAGUGAUGACGGCCUUCGGGUUGUAAAGCUCUGUGAUCGGGGACGAAUGGCUGGUAUGCUAAUACCAUAUCAGAGUGACGGUACCCGAAUAGCAAGCCACGGCUAACUACGUGCCAGCAGCCGCGGUAAUACGUAGGUGGCAAGCGUUGUCCGGAAUUAUUGGGCGUAAAGCGCGCGCAGGCGGCUUCUUAAGUCCAUCUUAAAAGUGCGGGGCUUAACCCCGUGAUGGGAUGGAAACUGGGAGGCUGGAGUAUCGGAGAGGAAAGUGGAAUUCCUAGUGUAGCGGUGAAAUGCGUAGAGAUUAGGAAGAACACCGGUGGCGAAGGCGACUUUCUGGACGACAACUGACG